This 253-nucleotide ribosomal RNA is filed under the name uncultured bacterium. RNAcentral describes it as "partial 16S ribosomal RNA". It matches the Rfam family "Bacterial small subunit ribosomal RNA", at positions 524 to 776 of the family's 1533-position model. The record is from RNAcentral.
UACGGAGGAUCCAAGCGUUAUCCGGAAUCAUUGGGUUUAAAGGGUCCGUAGGCGGUUUUGUAAGUCAGUGGUGAAAGCCCAUCGCUCAACGGUGGAACGGCCAUUGAUACUGCAAGACUUGAAUUAUUGGGAAGUAACUAGAAUAUGUAGUGUAGCGGUGAAAUGCUUAGAGAUUACAUGGAAUACCAAUUGCGAAGGCAGGUUACUACCAAUAUAUUGACGCUGAUGGACGAAAGCGUGGGGGGCGAACAGG